This 376-nucleotide ribosomal RNA is filed under the name uncultured Anoxybacillus sp. Its description in RNAcentral is "bacterial SSU rRNA". It matches the Rfam family "Bacterial small subunit ribosomal RNA", at positions 1011 to 1382 of the family's 1533-position model. The record is from RNAcentral. Lineage: Bacteria; Bacillati; Bacillota; Bacilli; Caryophanales; Anoxybacillaceae.
GGUUCCCCUUCGGGGGACAGGGUGACAGGUGGUGCAUGGUUGUCGUCAGCUCGUGUCGUGAGAUGUUGGGUUAAGUCCCGCAACGAGCGCAACCCUCGACCUUAGUUGCCAGCAUUCAGUUGGGCACUCUAAGGUGACUGCCGGCUAAAAGUCGGAGGAAGGUGGGGAUGACGUCAAAUCAUCAUGCCCCUUAUGACCUGGGCUACACACGUGCUACAAUGGGCGGUACAAAGGGUCGCGAACCCGCGAGGGGGAGCCAAUCCCAAAAAGCCGCUCUCAGUUCGGAUUGCAGGCUGCAACUCGCCUGCAUGAAGCCGGAAUCGCUAGUAAUCGCCGGAUUCCAGGCAUCGCCGGCGGUGAAUACGUUCCGGGCCUU